Molecule: ribosomal RNA, 253 nt
Filed under: uncultured bacterium
Lineage: Bacteria
Description: partial 16S ribosomal RNA
Rfam family: Bacterial small subunit ribosomal RNA
Source: RNAcentral
UACGUAGGGUGCAAGCGUUGUCCGGAAUUAUUGGGCGUAAAGAGCUCGUAGGCGGUUUGUCGCGUCUGCUGUGAAAACUCGGGGCUUAACCCCGGGCCUGCAGUGGGUACGGGCAGACUAGAGUGCGGUAGGGGAGACUGGAAUUCCUGGUGUAGCGGUGAAAUGCGCAGAUAUCAGGAGGAACACCGGGGGCGAAGGCGGGUCUCUGGGCCGUAACUGACGCUGAGGAGCGAAAGCGUGGGGAGCGAACAGG